CGACUUAUUUAUAAUAAUGCAGCGGAAAUAAACUCAUAAGGAAAUUAAAUUGUCUGAAAAAUUCAAAUUAACAAGGUUUUAGAAAUAGACAUCACGGUUCAAUUAAAAAUCUUUAAAACAAUAAAACAACUAAAUUAAAACUUAGAGUUUCCCCAUAGGACUUCCUAGCAGAGCGACUCAAUUUAUUAAAAACGGGAAAGGAAGACAACUCCUAAUGCCAUCUCCGGACUCUCAGCUAAGCAUCAUUGUUACCUGAAAAUCUACGAUUGCACAUCGUAGGGUCAAA
RNAcentral lists this long non-coding RNA (286 nucleotides) under Trifolium pratense (red clover). RNAcentral's name for it is "long non-coding RNA (TPRA_LNC005690)". The record is from RNAcentral. Lineage: Eukaryota; Viridiplantae; Streptophyta; Magnoliopsida; Fabales; Fabaceae.